Molecule: ribosomal RNA, 487 nt
Filed under: uncultured bacterium
Lineage: Bacteria
Description: partial 16S ribosomal RNA
Rfam family: Bacterial small subunit ribosomal RNA
Source: RNAcentral
GACGAACGCUGGCGGCGUGCUUAACACAUGCAAGUCGAACGAAAAUACCAAGCUUGCUUGGUUGAUUAGUGGCGAACGGGUGAGUAACACGUGAGUAACCUGCCCCUUACUUUCCUGGAUAACUGCUCGAAAGGGUAGCUAAUACGGGAUAUUCUGACCAGCCUGCAUGGGUUGGUUUGGAAAGGUUGUUUUUCUGGUAAGGGAUGGGCUCGCGGCCUAUCAGCUUGUUGGUGGGGUGAUGGCCUACCAAGGCUUUGACGGGUAGCCGGCCUGAGAGGGUGGACGGUCACACUGGGACUGAGAUACGGCCCAGACUCCUACGGGAGGAAGCAGUGGGGAAUAUUGCACAAUGGGCGCAAGCCUGAUGCAGCGACGCCGCGUGAGGGAUGAAGGCCUUCGGGUUGUAAACCUCUUUCGUCAGGGAACAAGGCACUGCUUUUUGGUGGUGUUGAGGGUACCUGGAUAAGAAGCGCCGGCUAACUACGUG